Molecule: ribosomal RNA, 281 nt
Filed under: uncultured bacterium
Lineage: Bacteria
Description: partial 16S ribosomal RNA
Rfam family: Bacterial small subunit ribosomal RNA
Source: RNAcentral
UGCCAGCAGCCGCGGUAAUACGUAAGGUGCGAGCGUUAUCCGGAAUCAUUGGGCGUAAAGCGAUCGAAGGCGGGGAAAUAAGUAGAAUAUUAAAUACCUACGGCUCAACCGAGGUGCUGUAUUCUAAACUGUUUCCCUUGAGUAAUGCAGAGGAAGCUGGAAUUUUCAUUGUAGGGGUAAAAUCCGUAGAUAAUGAAAGGAACACCAAAAGCGAAGGCAGGCUUCUGGGCAUUUACUGACGCUGCGCGAUCGAAAGCGUGGGGAGCGAAAGGGAUUAGAUA